Molecule: long non-coding RNA, 9623 nt
Filed under: Octopus vulgaris (common octopus)
Lineage: Eukaryota; Metazoa; Mollusca; Cephalopoda; Octopoda; Octopodidae
Source: RNAcentral
GUACUCUACACAUGUAUGCGCUUCUGUAGAUUUUAUUUAACUCUUUCUUGCUUAUUUUGAUAUGGCCAUUGUUGCAAUCAGAAUUCAAAGUUUCGGAAACAAUACCAAAAACUUAGCUCCAUAUUAUUUAUUUGUUCCUCUGUGAGCUUUUUAAUAAUUUUUUUUUCACUAUCCUUUCCUUCUCUAUCUUUCUCCUUUCUCUCUCUCUCUCUCUCUCUCUCUCUCUCUCUCUCUCUCUCUCUCUCUGGCUCUCUGUUUAUCUAUAUCUCCUUCUCUCUCUCUGUCUCUUUCUUUCUUCCUUCCUUUUUCUCUGUGAACUAUGACCUAUUUAUGUUCCGCUAACAAAAAGCCAAAAUGAACAAUUUCAAAAAAACUUAAAAGAACUAAAAGUGAAAUAUAGCAGGUAAAAAAAAAAGAAAAUAAACACAAACAAAAAAAAUGAACCCUUCAAAGAAAUCAAGAUUUAAAAAAAUAAGAAAAAAAUAGAAAAAAAUGUAAAAUAACCAAUAUGAAGACUAUUUGGAAAUGGUCUUCAGCUAUUUUAUUGUCUUUUUUAUUAUUAUCCUAAUUAUUAACUAUUAAUUAUUAUUAUUAUUAUUAUUAUUAUUAUUAUUAUUAUUAUUAUUAUUAUUGUUAUUACAGGCAGGUCCGCUAAUCAAUCACCACAACCAAAAGACAUUGUAAUUAUUAUCAUCGUUUACCGUUAUUAUUUUCAUGCUUUUUUCCAACACUUUCAUGCAAGUUUCUUACUGCACUACAAAGUGCACUUGCAAUGUGUUUGUGUUCUGUGAGUGUGUGUGUAUGUGCAUGUGCGUGCACAUGUGUGCAUGUGUAAGUGUGUACAGCAUUGUCUUUCAGGAAUGUAGAACCGUGUGUUGUUUGUAUGCUAACAUCAGUUUAUUAUUAUUAUUAUUAUUAUUAUUAUUAUUAUUAUUAUUAUUAUUAUUUAUUAGUAUUAUCGUUGCUUUUAUUAUUAUUAUUAUCAUUAUUAUUAUUAUUAUUAUUAUUAUUAUUAUUAUUAUUAUUGAUAGUGUUAUCAUAACUGCAUUUUGCUGCAUGGUUGACAGUGCAUCAUGGAAGAUGCACCCUGGUUUUAGGAGUGUAAAAAAAAUUGUUUAUAGUUACCAAUACUCCAUCCACAAGAAUUGGCAAUGUCCAGUGAGCACAUGCUAAAUGCCCGUUAUUAGGCAAAGCACAUGGCCAAAACUACAGCAGUGCUCAUUUUCACUGUCAUUGGGUGAAAUCACAAGCAUUUCUGUGGUAUUGAGUAGAAUAUUUGCUGUAGCCCAUCUUUUGUACCAAGACUACUGGAGUGCUAAUUUUUACUGACAUUGGGUGAAAUCACCAGACAGCGGCCACCAGCCUGGUGGUUUUCUGCCGGGUAUUAGGGUAGUAUGUAACACUAUGCUCUCCACUUUAACUGCCCUGUGAUUAUUACAGUAGCCACCAGCCUGGUGGUUUUCUGCCGGGUAUUAGGGUAGUAUGUAACACUAUGCUCUCCACUUUAACUGCCCUGUGAUUAUUACAGUAGCCACCAGCCUGGUGGUUUUCUGCCGGGUAUUAGGGUAGUAUGUAACACUAUGCUCUCCACUUUAACUGCCCUGUGAUUAUUACAUGUGACAUGCCAUAGUGAUCGUACUACACCCAUCACUGCUGACCACCUAUCAACUACAGGUGCCCAACUACAACUGCUGCCAGUCAAUCCUUAGGUAUCCCAACAUGCACUAGGCAAUGCUUGUUUCUGUGGAUUGACCUUAAUCAACGCCACUUGUGUAUCGGUCAUUAUAGCAUCAAUUUUUAAUUAAGAGUCUGUAAGUGGAAAUUUUUUAAUGUAACACUCUUUUCUACAUUUCUAACAAGCUGUGGUGCUUGUAUUCUUUGUCAUUUGAUUUUUAUCCAUAUGACGAAGAUGAAGACUAUUUUUCAUUUGGAAAAGGUAAGCAUAUUGUUAUGUCGCAAUACUACACAGUGACUGUGUGAGCUACGAAAUCCUUGUCGCUGCUGUUAUGUCGCACGCUCGGAUGACUUCUACUCAACACUGCUCUGCUCUAAUCUACUUCUCUCAACGUCUAGGCCUCUCCCUCUAUAUCUCCAUAUUGGGCCAGCCUACUUCAUCAUCUGGGGGUGUCCACACAACACAUAUAUACAUCAGCAUCUAUAUUUAUUUUGAAAAAAGGAUAGAGCAAAAUUUACAAAUCACUUUGGUAUUAAUCAGAUUAAUUAGAAUUUCAGAAUAUAAAAUACUUACAAUUGCUAAGUAAUUAAAUAACAGCCUCUGUAUGGGACUGCUUUCUGUUAAGCCUCAGAAAACCACAGCACAACUUCUCAACUAGUAUCCUGGCAGUCGCAUGGUAAUUUUCAUGGUAUUUUUUUCUUAUAAGGUGUGUCUUCCAUGUUUGCAAAAUACAUUAUUAUCGCUAUCAAAAGGGGAAAACUGGCAGAAUCAUUAGAGAAUCAGAUUGCCUUGUGGUAUUUAUUAUAGCUCUUUAUUUUCAGAGUUGAAAUCCCUCCAAGGUUAACUUUACCUUUCCUCCCUCUGGGGUGGAUAAAAUAAAGUACCAGUCAAAAGCUGGGGUCGAUGGUAUUGACUAGACACUAAACCCUCAUCCUUUAAAAUUUACUGGCCUUGUCCCUCAAUCUGAAACCAAAUUUUAUCACCAUUAUCAUUAUUAUUGUUUUUCUUCUUUUUCUCGUUAUUAUUGCUACCAAAGGCAACAAGCUGGCAGAAUUGUAAGUGCAUGGGGCAAAAUGCUUAGCACCAUUUUGUCUGACUUUUUACAUUCUCAGUUCAAAUGCCACCAAAGUCAACUUUGCUUUUCAACCUUUCAGGGUUGAUAAAACAAGUACCAGUUGAACACUGGGCUCAGUAUAAUUGACAAACCCCUCUCCUGCUAAAUUUCAGGCUUUGUGCCUAGAUUAAAAAGAUUAUUAUUAUGAUUAUUAUUAUUAUUAUUAUUAUUGAGUGAGGGAGCAGUGCAUGCCUUCAAAGUGAUACUGGGGUAAAAUAUACGAAGCCCAGUAUACCCAUCAUGACUACCCAUCUGAUAAGGGCACACCAGGCACAUACAUCACAACCAUAUGUGUGCAACAUGGUGAUCUCAUAUUAAGAUAAACAGCACAUGACCUUGCAGGUGGGGCCCAGUUAGAAUUUUCUUCUGGUCGAGAAGCCCAUCCCGCUCAUAAGGUCCCUGAAUAAGGAUUAAGGAUGUUGAACAAACCAUCCAUGUUUCCAAAGGUGAAUUAUCCAAACCUCUAAGAAUUCCUUCCAACACACAGCUAUGAUGCUCCCCCACUACUAUUAUUAUUGUUAUUGUUAUUAUUAUUAUUAUUAUUAUUAUUAUCAUCAUCAUCAUUGUGAGCUGGCAGAAUCGUUAGCAAGCCGGGCAAAUAGCUGUAUUUUGUCCUGACUUUACAUUCUGAGUUCAAAUGCCAAUGAGGUCGACUUUGCCUUUCAUCCUUUUGAGGUCGAUGAAAUAAGUACCAGUUGAGUACUGGGGUUGAUGAUAUUGACUAUCCCCUCCCCCAAAUUUCAGGCCUUGUGCCUAUAAUAGAAAGGUUUAUUAUCAUUAUUAUUAUUAUUAUUAUUAUUAUUAUUAUUAUUAUUAUUAUUAUUAUUAUUAUUAUUAUUAUCAUUAUCAUUAUUAUUAUUAUUAUUAUCAUUAUUAUUAUUAUUGUUGUUAUUAUUAUUAAUACUAUUAUUGUCUUUCAUUUUAUUUUUUUUGACAAUUUUGAUUUUUAUGCUUGUUUUAUUUAUUAUAAUUUUUUUUUCUCGUGAUUGAUUCUGCAAACUCUCUCUAACUCUCUUCCAUCAUUUUUGUACUUUCGUCUUUUGUAACAACCCCCACCUCUCAAAACAAAAGGAAAAAAAAAAGAAAAAAGACGUAGCCCCUGUGGCAAAAUAAAAGAAAUGACUAUAAUUAAUAUUUAUUAUUACAUUGAGUAACCAUUUGGCAGAAGCGGUAUUACCAUUACAAUUCCCCCACAUACACACACACAUACACUCACCACAUUCCGAGUUCAAAUCAUACAAAGUUAAUUUUUAUUCUUAUAAGCAGUGGCAGGAAUAUUUUCUAAAAUAUGAUACCAGUAAAAUACUGGGCUUAAUUUAAUUGACUCUACCUCCUUCACCCUCUACCCCAUUCCCAAAUGAAAAAUAGUGUAUGGCUUAGUACUAGUGUCAGAGAUCAUUAUCAUCAUCUUCGUCAUCAUCAUCAUUACUGUUAUCAUUAUUAUCAUCAUCUUUAUUAUGAUUAUUUUCAUUAAAUAAUAUUAAAGUAAGUACCACUUGAGAAUUGGAGUGACUGCAAUCAACUUACCCCCUCCCCCUAAAAUUGCUGGCCUUGUGUCAAAAUGUGAAAUCCUCAUCAUCAUUAUUAUUAUUAAGGCAGCAGGCUGGCAUAAUCGUUAGUAUGCUGGAUGAAAUGAUUAGUGGUAUUUCGUCCACUGCUAUGUUCUGAGUUUAAAUUCUGCUGAGGUCAACUUUACCUUUCAUCGUUUCAAGGUCACUAAAAUAAGUACCAGUUGCAUACUGAGGUUGAAGUAAUUGACUAUCCCCCUCCCCCAAAAUUUCAGGCCUUGUGCUUACAACACAAAAGAUUAUUAUUAUUAUUAUUAAUUAUUAUUAUUAUUAUUAUUAUUAUUAUUAUUAUUAUCAAGUGAGAGAGAAAUGCAUGCUAUCAAAGUGACACUAGGGUACAAAUAUACAAAGCUCAAUACACCCAUCAUGACUACUCAUCUGAUAAGGGUGCACCAGGCUCAUGCAUCACGACCAUAUGUGCGUGACAUGAUAAUCUAAUAUCACGAGAAACAGUGCAUGACCUUGCAGGUGGGGCCCAGUUAGAAUUUUCUUCAGGCUGAGUAGCCCACCCCACUCGAAAGGUACUUGAAUAAAGUUUGUUUAAAGAUGAUGAAUGAAACACCCAUGCUUCCAGAGGUCAAUUAUUCAAACCCUAAAGAAUUCCUCUCAACACACAGCUUUGAUUCUCUUCCCACUACUUCUGCUCGUGAUCAGAGAUGCACAUAUCGUCAGCCACUAAGGGACAUGCUCAACUGGUUAUGGUCAAACAACUGAGAAGCAAAUCUGUGGUACUGAGCAGAAUAUUUGCUGUGGCCCUUUUUUUUUAUACCAAGACAAAACAAUGUACAUGAUAACACUUCCAAUCAGUUAAGAUCAGAAGCAAUGAGAGCCACUGCCUGGUACUGCAUCAGGGCAUAGUACUGCAUCAGGGCAUUUAUUAUUAUUAUUAUUAUUAUUAUUGGUAAUGUCAAAGCAGUAAGCUGGGUGAGUCUUACCAUGUUUGAACUAAAAUGCUUAGCAGCAAUUCUGCAGGCUUUACAUUCUCAGUUCAAAGUCUACUAUGGUUGGCAUCAAUAACAUAAAGUAUCAGUCUAGUACAGGGGUCAAGUAAUUGACCAACACUGCCCAUUAAAUAUUGCUGGCCUUGCGCCAACAUUUGAAAACAUUAUUGGUGUUGUUUUUUUCUUCAUCAAAGAAUGUAUCUUUGUCCAGUUAGCCCUGAAUUUUUUUCCUUUUGCUGUUACACUCCCUUUAAUUAAUUUAUCAAAGCCCACACAUCCAAUCUGGCACACAACAUAACCAUCACCAUCACUACUUUUGCUUAGCAAUAUUUUUUAAAGCCAUUCUUUGGAAUUCUGAAUCCAGAAUGUCUUUAGAUAUGUCAAAAAGUUUGCAUGAAAGUAAGAUACAGAUACAGGGACAAGGAAUUCAUGAUAUUCUACAUAUAGUCUGAUGUCUAAAUGGUUGGUCACGGUUGGAGAGGAAUGAUAUCAUGAUGGGUCCAGUUUUUGUUUUCUAUUUUAUAUAAUUGUAUAUGUGUUUUUUUGCUCAGAUAUCUGCUUACUUCUCCCUGACAAACAUCAUCUCUCUCUCUCUCUUCCUGUAUGUGUGUAUAUAUAUGUAUGUAUAUGCACACUCAUAUAUAUACAUACACAUGUGCACACACACACACACACACACACAUAUAUAUAUAUACAUACAUAUAUAUGUCUGUAUAUAUAUAUAUAUGUGUGUGUGUGUGUGUGUGUAUGUAUGUAUGUAUAUAUACACACACACAUGUAUAUAUAUGUGUAAAUAUCUAUCUACAUAUAUAUAUAUAUAAUAUAUAUAUAAUGGAUAUAUAUAUAUAUACUAUACAUAUAUACAUAUAUAUACAUACACUUAUAUACACACAAGCAUACAUAUAUUUAUAAAUACAUAUAUAUUCUUUAAUUCUUUUACUUGUUUCAGUCAUUUGACUGCAUCCAUGCUGGAGCACCACCUUUAGUCAAGCAAACCGACCCCAGGACUUAUUCUUUGUAAGCCUAGCACUUAUUCUAUCGGUCUCUUUUGCCGAACCACUAAGUUACAGGGAUGUAAACACACCAGCAUCAGGUUUCUUUCAGUUUCCGUCUACCAAAUCCACUCACAAAGCUUUGGUCAGCCCGUGGCUAUAGUAGAAGACACUUGCCCAAGGUGCCACAUAGUGGGACUGAUCCCAGAACCAUGUGAUUGGUAAUAUGUAUAUAUAUAUAUAUCAUCAUCAUCAUCAUCAUCAUCAUCGUUUGAUGAUGAUGAUGAUGAUGAUAUAUAUAUAUAUAUAUAUAUAUAUAUAUAUAUAUAUAUAUAUGGAGGAGUAUGUUUGAGUGUGUAUGGUUGAGUGAAUAGCAUAGCAGACAAUCAGCCAAGAGGGCACCAGUUUGAGUUUUGUAUAGUGUGCUCUCAUUGUGUCCAUAACCAGAAUGGUUAAUUCACAAAUGACCCAGUUUACUUAGCUGUACAUAGGUACCACCAAGUCUUUCUCAAGCCUACAGGCUCAUUAAAAUAAGGCGUAACCCAGUUUGUUUCUUUUAUUCUGAGCCACUCAGUGACUGAAAAUACAAAAUUUCCAAUAUGAUGGGAUACCAGUUUGUUACAAAGUUGAUUUGCAGCUAUUUCUGGUACAUAUUUUCUAUUGAAUGGACUGAACCAACAUUAGAUGAACUACCUAGCUCAAGCACUCCAUUUACUUCUCAAUCAUGGAACUGAAUCCCAGGUGACAAGCUGGCAGAAAUGUUAGCACACCGGGCAAAAUGCUUAGUGGUAUUUUGUCUCUCUUUAAGUUCUGAGUUCAAAUUCCACCGAGUUUGACUUUGCCUUUCAUCCUUUCAGGGUCGAUAAAUUAAGUACCAGUUAUGCACUGGGGUCGAUGUAAUCGACUUAAUCCCUUUGUCUGUCCUUGUUUGUCCCCUCUAUGUUUAGUCCCUUGUGGGCAAUAAAGAAAUAAGAAACAUUUGCACACCGGGUGAAAUGCUUAGCAGUAUUUCGUUUGACUUUGCCUUUCAUCCUUUCAGGGUCGAUAAAUUAAAUACCAGUUGUGUACUGGGAUCAAUGUAAUCAACUGGCCCCCUCCCAAAAAGUUUCGGGCCUUGUACUUAGAGCAGAAAAGAAUCAUGGAACUGAAUCCAUAUUUCUAUAAUUGUGAGUUCAAUACUUUAACAUCUAGGCACAAAAAUUGUACCUUCCGUACCACAAUAUGCUAUGUGCAUGACUAAAACACUUAGCUCACUCAAGUCCUCAGUCCACCUAGCUAUAAACAGGAACCACAGAUAAUAUGCUGUAUCCAUGUAGCUUGACAUACCUCUCAAAUGUUCACAAAUCACCAAGUUGUAAGUAAGUACUAUAAGAGUGAGGAAACUAUAUUUUAAGUCAAUGACGAGAUAUCUAAUACUCAAAUGAUAUCAGUCUACCCAACUGUAAAUAGGUAUCAGCCACAGAGCAGGAAGAGAAUAUAUCAAUAGAUGAGACAUUAUAUAACAAAUAUGUUCAGUCUGCCUAUCUGUAAAUAGGGACCAACCGCAAUAGGUGAAUGUUCAUAAUGACCAAGAUUUUUAAUUAAUUAAUGUUCUUAAUGUUCUAGCCUGUCUAGAGUUAGCAACCACAGGAACAGUAAAUUGUGAUCAAGUUAUUUAAUUACUAAAUUAUUUAAUUAAUAAAUUGUGAUCAAGUUAUUUAAUUAAUAAAUUUUCUCAGUCUACCUGGCUGUAAAUUAAGACCAAUCACAAUAGGAAAGGUAAAUGUCAUUGAUGACCAGAAUAUUUAAUUAAUAAUUGUUUUUAGGCCCCCUAGCUAUAGAAUUGGUAGCAAUCACAGGAAUGGUAAACUGUGCCAAAGAUAUUGAAUUAAUAAAUUUUCUCAGUCCAUCAAGCUGUAAAUUGGGACCAACCACUAUGGGAAAAGUAAAUGCUGUUAAUGACCAAGAUAAUUAAUUGGUAAAUGUUCUAAGCCCACCUAGAAGUAGCAACCACAGGAACAGUCAAUUGGGAUUAAUAUUUUUAAUUAAUAAAUUUUCUCAGUGCACCUAGCAGCAAAUAGGGACCAAUGACAAUGGGAAAGGUAGUGUUAUUGAUGAGCAUGAUAUUUAAUUAAUAAUUGUUUUUUAGUGCUAGCUUUAAAUUGGUAGCAACCACAGGAAAUGUAAAUUGUGAACAAUUCAUUUAAUUAAUAAAGAAACUCAGUCUACCUAGCUGUAAAUAGAGACCAGCCGCUGUAGGAAAGGUAAAUGUUGUCAAUAAUCAAGAGGUUUAAUUAAUAAUUACUUUUAACCAAUCUAUGUAUAAAUAGGUAGAAACCACAAGAAUGAUAAAUUGUGUCAAAGAUAUUUAAUUAAAAUAUUUUCUCAGUUCACCCGGCUGUAAAAUGGGUACCAAGCUCAGUAGAAACACUAAACUGUGUCAAUGAACAAGAUAUUUAAUUAAAUGUUCUCAAUCCACUUAGCUUUGUGGGCAUGUAUUUGUUUGGCAUCAUAGAGAGAGAGAGUAUGUGUGUGUGAGUUUGUGUCUUGUAUUCUAGAAGAAUAUAAAUAUGGUAACACCUGAGACUUGUAAAUAUUUCAUCACAACUAAGUGAGAAACUAUAAUGGAAUUCAGUUGUCAUUAAUUUUGGCUUUUUGAAAUUUUCUCUUUCUAUUUUUUUUUAUUUUGUUGCAAAAAUUUUUUUUUAAAUUGGCAAGAGAACUGUUACUAUUGAUUAAUAACAAGAAAAUCCCAAAGAAAUAACAAAAACCUCAAUCACCUAUUCCCUUCCCACCCCACCCCACCCAAGAUCCAAAAACUUAAAAAAAGGACCGCUGCCAAAAGGAUGCAUAGUCUGUGAGUGUUUCUCAUCAAUGAAAUUAAAAUGAAAUCAGUUUGCUAAUUGUUUAAUAUUGAUUAGGGUAAUUGUAAAAUAAUUCCACAAAACAAUAUUUAUUCGCUCCAUUCAAAAAAAAAAUAAAUAAUAAUUUUUGUUUUUUCAGAUUCAAAGUUUACAAGUAAAGAACUGGAGGAAUACACAUAUAACAAAUUUUUUCCUUUAUUUUUUUUUUAUGAAUUUUUUUUUUUUUUUUUUGUUUAAUCAAUCAAAAAACAAAAAUUCUCACAAUUUGAGGAAGAAAAACCAUGUUGAAGUGAAAGCAAACAAAUAAACAAAAAAAAAAAUACCAAAGAAAAAAUUUAGAAAACUUACAAAAACUUAAAUAAUGAUAAAGCUGUGAUGCAGUGAUUUGUUUUAAUAACUAAACACUUAUACUGAUGCUUUUCAAAAAGUACAGCUGUUAUACUUGUUUCAUAUACACAUGUGUAUAUGUGUCCAUAUAUAUAUAUAUACU